GUUCCAAUGAGAAUGAAGGCUGAGGUGUGCGCCUUUUUUUUUUUUCCUUCUUAGUCGUGUGUACAUCAUUGGGAAUGGAGGGAAAUAAAUGACUGGAUGGUCGCUGCUUUUUAAGUUUCAAAUUGACAUUCCAGACAAGCGGUGCCUGAGCCCGUGCCUGUCUUCAGAUCUUCACAGCACAGUUCCUGGGAAGGUGGAGCCACCAGCCUCUCCCUGACAAGCAAAGUGGAUCAGCAAAGGCUGCAGUCACCAGCAUCUUUUCCAACCUUAAUGAACUGUAUCCUCAAAAGAACACUAUCAGACUGGUAAGACAAGCAUUAUUGUCCCACUUCACAGAUGAAGAGCUUGGGGGCCCUGUGGAUGUGUAGGAGAGUCGGCCUUCCUUUUUAUAGGCCUUUUGCUGAGCUCAGAGGACAGAGCAGAAGACAAAGCCGAAUGCAGCCCUAAGCAGACACUAUCCCAGCCCAAGGAGCUAUGCAGACAGCUCCUGCCUAGAGGAGAAACAAUUCUCUCCUUCAGCCAGGCAUGUGGCACAGAGGUGAACAGGAAAUGCUUAGGGAGACAGUUCACAGAUAUAUAUGUACUUCACAGGGCACAAUUUAAUCCAUAAAUCAAUCAUGGAUCACCGCUAAAGAAAACAAAAUAUGCUGCCACUAAUUUGCCACCACCCUGUGAGCAUGAUUGGAUGAUGUUUAUUUUGAUUAGGAGAUUGCUCCAUUUAUAAAUCUUCAAUACAUCCUGUCCCCCUAAAACGGCAUCUGGGUCUUUUGAGGGUUAAAAAAAAAAAAAAGUGAAAUUGGAUGAGGGAUGAGAGCUGGACUUCUGUGUGUCCCGGGGUCCCUGGAUCCACAGCCUGGUGCCUAGCAUCAGUUAAGCCCACGCUGGGGUCGCAUCACAUCCCGCAAAGCCACGUGCUCUGUGAGGCCAACAGGAGCCCCGCCGGGUGGACCAGCUGGAAUCUCAGAGAGCGCCGACUCUGAAACUACCCGGCUCUGCAGAAGCACGCUGGGCCCAGGGGCUUCUAGACUGACAGCUCCAUUUAUCAACUACCUAUUGGUUUUAAAAAUUGGAGUGUCUUUUCCGCGUUGACUGAUUUUGGCUCUAAGAGAUGUCGCUGGUCAUUUCAGAGUGACUGAACCUCCCCUCUAACAGAUCCCGGGAAUUGUUUUCAGGAAAGGUAAAAGGCAGCCUUUUCUGUCACAACACAACGCUGAGCCGGCAGCCUGGCUCUGUCAGGAUCUGGGGCUCCCGCGCCCGAGAAGCCCAGCCUCGCCGGCGGCCAAGUUCACCGCGAGGCCCCGCGCUGCCUGCGCUGCGCUCCCGGACCCGCACCGACCGCAGCGCGCGCCGCCGGUGCUUCUCCCACCCCAGCCUGGAAGCUGCCUCCCUCCGCCUAUGCCUGCAGGAUAAGAAGCCCGAGGAGGCGGAGCAUGGAACUCGACAGUUAAAACAUUUAAGAGAGAAAACCUAGUGUCUUGCUGGCCUGAAAUCGAGUACGCAGCCCGGGGUGAUCAGGGUCUCCCGGCCCGGAUGUGUGAGACUUGCUUCCCCUGGGCAAUAGGCGAUACGAUGCUUUAGGAGGAAGGUGUCUCUCCCUCCUAAGCCCCGGAGGGGAGAACUUCCAAAGACAGAAAACCACAGGCUUCCUGGCACAGAGCUUUCCCUUUAUCAGCUAAAGCAGAAUCUUUUCUGGCCUUAACCUGGCCCCUUCCUCUAACUGCAGGCAGAGAGGCAGACAGAAAAGCACUUGCUGAAACACAAAGUUUUGUUCUGUCCUCAACGAACUGUCUAGAGCUGAUUGCUGAUAGUCGUGGUGCAUUAUGCCUUCCUGGUUUUCAUUUAAUUGGGCACCACGCUGCCUUUCAAGACGCCUUAAAGGAACCAACAACCAAAUCCAAGAGAGCUGGACAGACCAUUGAACACACAGUAGGCUGUGUCUCGUGGCUUUCGUUGUCUGGUGCCUCAAAGAAAACACCAGAAAGAUUGUUUCUAAGCUAGAGCCACCCCAGAUUGCUUAAAGUGCAAAGCUCACUGCUGUUGGGGGUACCCUUGUGAGACACUGGAAAGCUGGUUUUACCGUGGCCCUAUGAAGAGGAAGACUGAAAUUUAGACAGUAAUACCUUUACUAGGAUUGGAAAAGAUUUGGUUAAUGACAGCCCUGUCAUUUCUAAAACCCAUUAUCACUGUAUGAGAGAUUCCUUUGCGCUGCAUCCUCGACAGUGCUUCCUAAGGCUCUGCCGACUUCCAGUUCUGGAACAAGAUGGUUAAACUCAUUUUUCCCUGCUCUGCUCCUCUAAAUACAACUAAGUACCUUGGAAACUAUUCAGCAGACAAUGAUAAAGGGCUCUGAAAGCUAGAAGAAAAGGUGUACUUGCAAGAAACCUCAGGACUUGAGUAACAGCAACAUGAACAAUCCAUUUCACAGAUGAAGAAACAGACUCAGUGAGCACGUGAUCACUUCUCACAACUAAUGGAGCCAAGAUUCUGUCCUUAUGGCUCCAGAGACCUCUUUUUUUUCCCACUGUACCACAACACUCACCAGGACUGGAGUGCCACCUAUGACCUCAUUGCAUAAUGGAUGGCUUGUCCUCAAAUGGGCCCGGCUGGAGGUACCAUGCACCUUUGAGGGACCAAGGACCCAAGACUUGAGGUAGACACUAUUCCCAGCUGGAUACUCUCAAUGUUGAGGAUAUAGAUGCACAAACCAAUGCAGGGAGGCCUCCAGGAGCCACUGGAGAAGAAAUCUUCAGAUCCUACCAGGCCCAUAGCUGUUGCCUUUGUGGGCUCCUGGGUUAAUUUCCACACAUCAGUGGCCCACCUUAUGAUAUCCUCCCUGCAUGCCACACUCCCGGCCAUGCUCUGUGGACAGCCAUUAUUUCCAGUAAUUGCUAAUGGGAGCCAGUCUCCAAAGAGUAAUGAAUCAGAGGUGUUCCUUGGAAUGUGUUACACUAGGACUUCGCCGAUCUCACAGGCUCCUUUCCAGAUGAGCUGACUGUAAUCUCUGGGAAGCUGGAUCUGGAGGAACAAUGGGAUGGGAUUUGCGGUGACCCUUCCUGCCCUUCUUGAGCAGCUUGUGAACCAGAAGAUGUGCCUGGAGAGAAAGCCUCAUUUGGGGAAGUGCAGUAGUCGAAGUUCUUUAUUUUGAAAAUGGAGAACAACCCUUCUCACAAUCCUGUCUCCCCUUCCCCCUUUCCAACUAGAAUAUCAGCUCCCCUGAACAUGAGUCAGUCACAUUUCAGGGAAAACUGGCUGAUGUUGAAGAAAUCACUUGAGGGCAAACUUUGUCCUUCAAGCUGUGGGUCUCUGAAGUGUAGAGCCAGCAGAUCCCCCAGUGUAGGGACUGGGCCUUCCUUGCCCAUUGAAUGCUUUCUAUACAUGAAGACUUGGAGCUCUUUACAGAUGACAGUAGCCAGUGAGGAAGAUAAAAGAAGAGAAAAGACCCAAAAUGCGGGUUUGCCACUCUUUUUUGCCAGCACCGUGGGGACAGUCACUCUGCCUUCUUUCCACCACCUCCAACUUCACACUCACACGCACACUCUGGUCCCACAGAGCCUGUUUGGUACUUGCCUGACAGCCCACCUUGAAACCAGAUGGUCAUGAACCUGUCACCAAGUCAUCUGAAGAUCUUCCACUGCAACCUGUAUGGCAUCUGCCACAGGGACCAUGGGACAUGAUUGAAGAACCACUCCAGUGCAGUUGAUGAAGGGGUGGGUCUGCACUGGAGUUAGGUGCACCAGGGCCUGGGCCAAGGGUGGGCUGGGUCCAUCUUGUGUGUGGUGGUCUUCUUCAGAGUAGCAGCUGAUUCAGAGGGAUUCCAUAGAACUGCACAGGCUAGGUCUAGUCAGAUAUCUUGGACAUUUUCUAUUUCUAGAUUAGAGAAUAUAGCAUACGCUGAUUUUAAUAUAACUGUGUAUGUGACUUUUUCAGUGAGAAAAAUUUUAAGUGAUGUUCUAAACAAUUUUUGGCAUGUAGACAGAAUAGUCAAAUAUCUGUUUAACUAGCAACAUAGUUACUCGUGCAUAUUUAAAAUACUACAUGAGUAUGGCCUGGCACAGUGGCUCAUGCCUGUAAUCCUAGCACUCUGGGAGGCCGAGGUGAGCAUAUUGCCUGAGUUCAGUUUGAGACCACUUUGGACAACAUGGUGAAACCCUGACUCUAUAAAAAUACAAAAAUGUAGCCAGGUGUGGUGGUGCGUGCCUGUAGUCCCGGCUACUUGGGAAGCUGAGGUGCAAGAAUUGCCUGAACCUGAGAGGCAGAGGUUGCAGUGACCUGAGAUUGUGUCACUGCACUCCAGCCUAGGUGACAGAGCAAGACUACAUCUCAAAAAAUAAAACAAAAUAAAAUAGGCCCUGUGCCGUGGCUCACGCCUGUAAUUCCAGCAUUUUGGGCAGCUGAGGCGGGCAGACCACCUGAGGUCAGGAGUUCAAGACCAGCCUGACCGACAUGGUGAAACCCCAUCUAUACUAAAUACAAAAAAUUAGCCAGGUAUGGUGAUGCAUGCCUGUAGUCCAAGCUACUUGGGAGGCUGAGGCAGGAGAGAAUGGCUUCAACCUGGGAGGCAGAGGUUGCAGUGAGCCGAGAUUGCGCCACUGCACUCCAGCCUGGGUGAUAGAGCAAGACUUCGUCUCAAACAAUAAAAUAAUAAAAUAAAAU
This 4653-nucleotide long non-coding RNA is filed under the name Homo sapiens (human). RNAcentral's name for it is "PREDICTED lncRNA (TCONS_00160898)". The record is from RNAcentral. Lineage: Eukaryota; Metazoa; Chordata; Mammalia; Primates; Hominidae.